CUACUACCGAUUGAAUGGUUUAGUGAGGACUCCUGAUUGGCGCCGCCGCCCAGGCAACGGAGCAGCGGACUGCCGAAAAGUUGUUCAAACUUGAUCAUUUAGAGGAAGUAAAAGUCGUAACAAGGUUUCCGUAGGUGAACCUGCAGAAGGAUCAAGAUCGGAAGGGCGUCUUGGAGGGAAAUAUUGUACAUCUCGGUGGUCGUCGUAUCAUUAAAAAACAAACAUAACCACUACUCGAUCUAACGACGCCUCCACUGUCAUGAAACAUCUGCUAAA
RNAcentral lists this unclassified non-coding RNA (276 nucleotides) under sea anemone metagenome. RNAcentral describes it as "partial contains small subunit ribosomal RNA and internal transcribed spacer 1". The stretch from base 1 to 157 matches the Rfam family "Eukaryotic small subunit ribosomal RNA", at positions 1679 to 1831 of the family's 1831-position model. The record is from RNAcentral.